This 292-nucleotide ribosomal RNA is filed under the name uncultured bacterium. Its description in RNAcentral is "partial 16S ribosomal RNA". The record is from RNAcentral.
GGACUACACGGGUUUCUAAUCCCGUUCGCUCCCCAUGCUGUCGUGUCUGAGCGUCAGUUGCGAGCCAGGGCGCCGCCUUCGCCUCUGGGGUUCCUCCGGAUCUCUACGCAUUUCACCACUACACCCGGAAUUCCACGCCCCUCUCUCGCACUCCAGAAAACCAGUCUGGCAUAACCUCGCCCGGUUAAGCCGGGCUAUUUCAUACACCACUUGGUUCCCCGCCUGCACACCCUUUACGCCCAGUAAAUCCGGAUAACGCUCGCCACCUACGUUUUACCGCGGCGGCUGGCAC